RNAcentral lists this ribosomal RNA (305 nucleotides) under uncultured bacterium. RNAcentral describes it as "partial 16S ribosomal RNA". It matches the Rfam family "Bacterial small subunit ribosomal RNA", at positions 508 to 807 of the family's 1533-position model. The record is from RNAcentral.
ACAGCAGCCGCCGCGGGAAUACGAAGGGGGCUAGCGUUGUUCGGAUUUACUGGGCGUAAAGCGCACGUAGGCGGACUUUUAAGUCAGGGGUGAAAUCCCGGGGCUCAACCCCGGAACUGCCUUUGAUACUGGAAGUCUUGAGUAUGGUAGAGGUGAGUGGAAUUCCGAGUGUAGAGGUGAAAUUCGUAGAUAUUCGGAGGAACACCAGUGGCGAAGGCGGCUCACUGGACCAUUACUGACUCUGAGGUGCGAAAGCGUGGGGAGCAAACAGGAUUAGAGACCCCCGUAGUCCCUGUCUCUUAUAC